Molecule: ribosomal RNA, 469 nt
Filed under: uncultured bacterium
Lineage: Bacteria
Description: partial 16S ribosomal RNA
Rfam family: Bacterial small subunit ribosomal RNA
Source: RNAcentral
GACGAACGCUGGCGGCGUGCUUAACACAUGCAAGUCGAACGGAAAGGCCCUGCUUGCAGGGUGCUCGAGUGGCGAACGGGUGAGUAACACGUGGGUGAUCUGCGCCUUACUUUUGGAUAAGCCUGGGAAACUGUGUCUAAUACUGGAUAGGACCCUGCUGUAGGUGGUGUGGUGGAGAGAUUAGUUUCGGUAAGGGUUGAGCUCGCGGCCUAUCAGCUUGUUGGUGGGGUAAUGGCGUACAAAGGCGUCGACGGGUAGCGGGCCUGAGAGGGUGGACGGCGACAUAGUGACUGAGAGACAGGGCAGAGACCUACGGGAGGGAGAAGAGGGGAAUAUAGCACAAUGGGGGCAAGAGUGAUGCAGCGAGGCGGCGUGGGGGAGGACGGGCUUCGGGUGGUAAACUCCUCUCAGCCAUGACGAAGCGCGUGUGGUGACGGUAGUGGUAGAAGAAGCACCGGCUAACUACGUG